GGUUCAUUCAAAUUUCUGCCCUAUCAACUUUCGAUGGUAAGGUAUUGGCUUACCAUGGUUUCAACGGGUAACGGGGAAUUAGGGUUCGAUUCCGGAGAGGGAGCCUGAGAAACGGCUACCACAUCCAAGGAAGGCAGCAGGCGCGCAAAUCACCCAAUCCCGACCGGGGAGGUCGUGACAAUAAAUACUGAUACAGGGCUCUUUUGGGUCUUGUAAUUGGAAUGAGUACAAUUUAAACCUCUUAACGAGGAACAAUUGGAGGGCAAGUCUGGUGCCAGCAGCCGCGGUAAUUCCAGCUCCAAUAGCGUAUAUUAAAGUUGUUGCAGUUAAAAAGCUCGUAGUUG
Molecule: ribosomal RNA, 344 nt
Filed under: uncultured fungus
Lineage: Eukaryota; Fungi
Description: SSU rRNA
Rfam family: Eukaryotic small subunit ribosomal RNA
Source: RNAcentral